This is a long non-coding RNA of Oreochromis aureus, 1651 nucleotides long. The record is from Ensembl. NCBI's taxonomy places the organism in Eukaryota, Metazoa, Chordata, Actinopteri, Cichliformes, Cichlidae.
CUUUAAUCCCACUUCCAUUUGCAACCAUAAAAAACCCAUUGUCUUAUUCAACUUGAAAUUAUAGUCAUAUUUUAUUACAAUAUUAGAAUUUGUACACAUUGCCCUCUCCAUCCUCUUCCAUUUAUAAAUUUAUUACAUAAAUAUAAUCAAAAAAUGCAAAAUAACGAAGGCAAAUUUAACAUGAAUUCAAAAACAAAAAGUGUUACCUGACUCUGCGAUAGAAACUCGAGGAAUGUAUUUUUCAUAUAUAUAUAUUUUUUAAACAAAGGUCACACAAGUCAGAGUAGAGUCAUCUAAUCUAAUUAACAAAAAAAAAAAAAAAAAAAAAAAAAGCUCUGCACCAUUAAAAAAAAUGUCAAGAGACUCAUGUUCAUUCAUUGUUUUUGAUCAUUACUCAUGGGUUGUAAUGGUGUUGCAAAAGUAAAAAAAUUCACACUUUUAAAGACCAAUCCAAAAAAAAAAAAUAUUGGGAUUAUUAAAUUUAUCAUUGGUUGUAAGAUAAAUGUAAAGGUUAGUACUCAUCCAACAUAGGAGCUCCCUUUAAGUGAGAACAAAAUUAUAACAAACCUAUAUAUAUAUAUGUAUAUAUAAAAUAUAAAAAAAAAGCCUCUAUUAUCAACCCCAACAGCUGGUCACUUUAUGAUCAUCAAACAGAUCUGCAAUCUGAGUAAUCUUCACAAAACUCAUGCAAAAAUAAAAACCACUGCAUGGCCUUUAAUGCAACCCUGCCCUUUGACGCUCAUCUCAUGCAAAUCUAGGGUCUUGUGUUUUUCAACAACCUUUUGUGACUUUGCCACUUUUGGGAAUUCUCCACAUGGUUUUUAAAGACUUCUCUGCCAGGUUUAAAGAUACAUCGCAUCUCGAAUGUUGACAAUGACGAUCAGUGAGUUUGCUUGUGAGUUAACACUGGCCAACUCUGUGACGUCAGGCAUCAGAUGUGACAACUAUAAUUGUGAACAUGCAGACACUGAUCAAACCAAAUGAACAAAAAUCUAAACAACCCUUAAACCAAAUUAACCAACAGGAACCUCCAUCAUCCACAUAGUCGAGCAGUGUAACAUUAAAUACAGCAUGUAAAAAACAAAAACAGUAGGAAAAAAAGGUGUAAUAUAGAAAAUUAUAUUAUUACAGUAUAUAUAUAUGUAUAUGUGUGUGUGUAUGUGUGUGUGUGUGCCUGUUGACCUGUAAAGAUUUUUAAAAAAUAAACCAGAAAAAACACCCAGAAAAGUGUAAGCUUUGAUGUAAACUUGUAAAAACAACCCUGUGAUCAUGUGGCUAAAUAAAAAGCUCUGAUAUGUGAAUUAACCCCCAACCUUUCAUUCAUUCAAGCGAACAUCACGAGAGCUGUUUUAAACAGCAGACAGGGAGAGUUGGGUGUUUCUCAGCGGUGCUGCCGUAAAUGUCAGAGAUUCUGGAGAGGAUAAAGGGAGUCGCUAAGCUGCAAACGUCUUACCACCUCCUCGCCGGGUCCUUGAUCCACGUAUAACAUGCUGCUGAUGAGGCUGAGAGGUGGCUUGGGAUGUCAAUAUCCAAGAGUGGAAUAAAGCCAUCCUUCUGAGUGAUCAUAUGAUCCUGGAUCCUCUGCAGCAUCUCCUGCAUCCGCCGCAGCUGGGAGAAGAGAGCAGAGAGAGGAGACGGGUGUUAGUGUGAU